GAGAAUCCUCAGGUGAGCGAGAGAACUCUCGUUAAGGAACUCGGCAAAAUAACCCCGUAACUUAGGGAGAAGGGGUGCUGAAGAGAAAUCAGCCGCAGUGAAGAGGCCCAAACAACUGUUUAUCAAAAACACAGGUAUCUGCAAAAUCGUAAGAUGACGUAUAGGUACUGACACCUGCCCGGUGCUGGAAGGUUAAGAGGACCGGUUAGCCGCAAGGCGAAGCUGAGAAUUUAAGCCCCAGUAAACGGCGGUGGUAACUAUAACCAUCCUAAGGUAGCG
This 279-nucleotide ribosomal RNA is filed under the name Mucochytrium quahogii. Its description in RNAcentral is "labyrinthulid quahog parasite QPX partial Bacterial large subunit ribosomal RNA". It matches the Rfam family "Bacterial large subunit ribosomal RNA", at positions 1674 to 1961 of the family's 2925-position model. The record is from RNAcentral. Lineage: Eukaryota; Bigyra; Thraustochytrida; Thraustochytriidae.